Molecule: unclassified non-coding RNA, 294 nt
Filed under: Hevea brasiliensis (rubber tree)
Lineage: Eukaryota; Viridiplantae; Streptophyta; Magnoliopsida; Malpighiales; Euphorbiaceae
Source: RNAcentral
AUUUUGAUACUUGUACUGUUUCAAUUAAUUGCAGUUGAAUGGAGCAUCUAUUGCCCAACAAAUUUCUUUUCUUCUUGGGGGGAGGGUGGCUGGAAUUAUGUUCACAAUCACAAAAAUACAUUGCUUGUGUGCCAGGAUAGUAUGCGGUUGAGUGCGCAAGUUUUAUUUAGUAUUGCCAUGGUGUUAGGUUGUUACAAGGACAAAAAUUCUGAGCCAGUCCUUCCUCUUUUUCACUGUAGUCUUAUAUUUUGUAGAAUGGUUGUACAAAACAUUAUGAGAAAAAGGUGCCAACUG